Molecule: transfer RNA, 88 nt
Filed under: Erysipelothrix sp.
Lineage: Bacteria; Bacillati; Bacillota; Erysipelotrichia; Erysipelotrichales; Erysipelotrichaceae
Description: tRNA-Ser
Rfam family: tRNA
About the family: Transfer RNA (tRNA) molecules are approximately 80 nucleotides in length. Their secondary structure includes four short double-helical elements and three loops (D, anti-codon, and T loops).
Source: RNAcentral
GGAGGAUUGGUCGAGUGGCCUAUGGCACCAGCUUGGAAAGUUGGCGAAGCGCAAGCUUCCGAGGGUUCGAAUCCCUUGUCCUCCGCCA